GGACAGGUGGCCGAGUGGUUUAAGGCGCUCCCCUGCUAAGGGAGUGAGGGGGAAACUCCUCCGUGGGUUCGAAUCCCAUCCUGUCCGCCA
RNAcentral lists this transfer RNA (90 nucleotides) under Paracoccaceae bacterium. RNAcentral's name for it is "tRNA-Ser". It matches the Rfam family "tRNA". From Rfam's summary of the family: Transfer RNA (tRNA) molecules are approximately 80 nucleotides in length. Their secondary structure includes four short double-helical elements and three loops (D, anti-codon, and T loops). The record is from RNAcentral. RNAcentral also lists the same sequence under 1 other name. Lineage: Bacteria; Pseudomonadati; Pseudomonadota; Alphaproteobacteria; Rhodobacterales; Paracoccaceae.